CACGUAGGGGGCAAGCGUUGUCCGGAAUUAUUGGGCGUAAAGAGCUCGUAGGCGGCUCGGUAAGUCAGGUGUGAAAUUCCAGGGCUCAACCCUGGAACGCCACCUGAUACUGCCGUGGCUAGAGUCCGGUAGGGGAGCGUGGAAUUCCUAGUGUAGCGGUGAAAUGCGCAGAUAUUAGGAGGAACACCAGCGGCGAAGGCGGCGCUCUGGGCCGGAACUGACGCUGAGGAGCGAAAGCGUGGGGAGCAAACAGG
Molecule: ribosomal RNA, 254 nt
Filed under: uncultured bacterium
Lineage: Bacteria
Description: partial 16S ribosomal RNA
Rfam family: Bacterial small subunit ribosomal RNA
Source: RNAcentral